AGACCGCUGUGUAAAAUUGGUGCUGUGUACGAACGGUUGUGUAGUUUUUUUUCACAACCCUGCGUAAUCUUACCCGAGUUACGUUAAAUAUUGGUUGCGUAAAGAGUUUUCUUCAAUAAGAGGUUACGAUUUCACGUCAAUUCCCGCCAAGCACCCCGUUUCACAACAGUUGUGUACAUCAAUUUACCACGUGACUUGAGACAGCCAAUCAGCUGUCAUAAAAGUUUUACGCAAACUUUUGAUAUCCAAAAUGGAGAGUGCCAAGGAAUUGCUUUGCGAUCGGGGGUUCGAGUCACGUCAGCCGUCAAAAAUUUUGAGGAGGCCUAUGGAGCUGAGUGAGGAUGAGGAUCCAGUUUUGCAAGAUAAAACGACACCAAAACCAAGAAAGAGGGUCAGAUGCCCCUAUGAAUUUGAUGUUGAAAGCAUCAUUUUGAAAGGUAGAAACGGAAGGGGCUUGCUGGAGGCAUUAACUCGAGGACGGGUUCUAAACAACAGCGAGAGAAUUCAACUCAACUGAGUGUUGGUUAGCCAUCUAAUUGAAGAGCAUUGAUGGAACCCACCAUCACAAGUGAAGGAAAGCCUUGCGCACAGCCUUCUGGAUCAAUUCAAAAUUUUGAAGGACAUCAACGGAAUCACAGGAUAUGUAAGUAUCUUGUAUUCUUGUUUUGUGGUGCUGUGGAAGCAAGGAUAGCAAACAUAAGAAAAGCAGCCCGAAACAAUAGCCCUUUGAUGUAAAACAAUGCACUAGUUGAACUUUUAAUUUGGUCUCAAAAGAUGCUCGAGACUUGAAAGUAUAAUCUCUGUG
Molecule: RNA transcript, 805 nt
Organism: Lytechinus variegatus (green sea urchin)
Lineage: Eukaryota; Metazoa; Echinodermata; Echinoidea; Temnopleuroida; Toxopneustidae
Exons: 4
Source: RefSeq, a predicted model, not a curated record